UUUGCUAUACAAUUGAAUUGUACAUAGAUAUUUUGUGCUGUUCUUUUAUAUUCCAGAAUUCCCUUUACUGUUAAAGAUAACACUUAAUGAUGACAGAAGAUUAAAUGGCCUGUCCAGAAUCUUUUGCCUCUGGAGUAUGAAGACUAAAAGUCACAAUGAUUGAUCAGUUCCAGUCCAGGACUUCAAGGACUUCUCAUACCAGCUGCCUAUGACUGGUGCAAUGAUCCCAGUGUCCUUUGUAACCAGCAUUAUUCAUGUAUUGAAUCAAGCCAGAAAUCAAAUACAUUGAUUUUUAACAUUG
This is a long non-coding RNA of Pipra filicauda (Wire-tailed manakin), 301 nucleotides long. RefSeq lists it as uncharacterized. The transcript has 2 exons. Lineage: Eukaryota; Metazoa; Chordata; Aves; Passeriformes; Pipridae. The record is from RefSeq and is a predicted model, not a curated record.